CUGCCUUGAGAUCCAGGAGUCAUUCUAUAAGAAGUCUGGCUGCUCAGAGGCCAUCAUGUUAGAAAACCCACAUGGAGGGACCACAUGGAGAUAGAGGGAGGUGCCCAAGAAACUCAAGCUGUCCGUCGCCCAGCUGCUUGAGCCUUUCCAGCAUCAACUGUCAGACAUCUCCUGGAACCCAUGGCCCUACUAGAUCUGCCAUGCUCCUUGAACAAAUGAAGGUUGGAGAUUAAGACAGAGGACCAGCGACUCUUGGCUUUCCUUCUUGACUCAGCCACCACAUCCCAGGAGCUUCCUGGGUAAGUAAUUUAAACAUUUUGUUCCUCAAUUCCUCCACUAUCAUAAAAUGAUAAUCGUGAUUGUUACUUGAGAAAGAAGCCUUCUGUGAUUUUGAAAUGAAAUCAACUAUUGUAAGUGCAAAGCCGUAAGAAGUCUCCAACCUUUUAGUGACUUUAUAUUCAGUGAAUAGUCUUGGUCAAAAUACUCCCAAGAAAAGACCAUUUAGGGGACUUUAACAUCUUUUUCCCAAUUCAAGAAACAAAACCAUCACUGAGGCUAAUCUGAUAGUCUCUUCUGCCAAGGUGUCUUGCUUUUGAUGAAGAAUGCCGGGGCAGGGAAAGGCUGUUGCAAAUGACCAAAAUGAUCAUUUCCACUGUGUAGUUAAAAUUUGUACCUUUCAUCAGCACCAUAAGACAAGACAAAAAAAACUAAAGUAAAUAAAAUUUGUGCCUUUCAGUGUAUAUACAUCUGACCUUAAACACACACAAAAAGAACUAAAAAAAAAGUGAGGGUGAGAAAUGGGUUAAAGCAUAGAUAAAACAAAAAGGGCACUUGAUUAGCAGUUGUUGAUGUUGGGUCAGAGGUCUAUUAUACUACUUUGUUUAUUUUGUAUAUAUUUAAAUUUUUCUAUAAUAAAACACUUGUAUAAAAAGAUUUUUUAAAAGAUGGUCAUUUUCAUCUUCAUGAGUGAAAACUCCUAAAACGUACACAGAGGAUGCACAGGUAGGUCUAAAUGAAAAGUCGUGUUGUGGCCGAGCGUGGUGGCUCAUGCCUAUAAUCCCAGCACUCUGGGAGGCCAAGGAGGGUGGAUCACCGGAGGUCAGGAGUUUGAGACCAGCCUGGCCAACAUGGUGAAACCUCGUCUCUACUAAAAAUACAAAAAACUAGCCAGGUGUGUUGGCGGCCGCCUGUAAUUCCAGUUACCUAGGAGGCUAAGGGAGGAGAAUUGCUUGAACUGGGAGGCAGAGGUUGCAGUGAACUGAGAUUGCGCCAUUGCACUACAGUCUGGGCGACAGAGCAAGACUCUGUCUCAAAAAAUGAAUGAAUGAAUGAAUGAAUAAAUAAAUAAGUAGAAAAGUGGUGUUGUGCAGCCAUUAUGGAAAACAGCAUGGUAGUUCUGAAAAAAAAAUUAAGAGCAGAAUUAUUACCUUAUGGUCUAGCAAUUCCACUUCUAGGUAUAUAAACAAAAGGAUUA
This 1474-nucleotide long non-coding RNA is filed under the name Callithrix jacchus (white-tufted-ear marmoset). RNAcentral's name for it is "lncRNA (ENSCJAG00000072996.1)". The record is from RNAcentral. Lineage: Eukaryota; Metazoa; Chordata; Mammalia; Primates; Cebidae.